This 253-nucleotide ribosomal RNA is filed under the name uncultured bacterium. RNAcentral's name for it is "partial 16S ribosomal RNA". It matches the Rfam family "Bacterial small subunit ribosomal RNA", at positions 524 to 776 of the family's 1533-position model. The record is from RNAcentral.
UACGUAGGUGGCGAGCGUUGUCCGGAUUUACUGGGCGUAAAGAGCGCGCAGGCGGUCGUACAAGUCGCGUGUGAAAGCCCCUGGCUCAACUGGGGAGGGUCACGCGAUACUGUUCGACUUGAAGGCAGGAGAGGGAAGCGGAAUUCCCGGUGUAGUGGUGAAAUGCGUAGAUAUCGGGAGGAACACCAGUGGCGAAGGCGACUUCCUGGCCUGUUCUUGACGCUGAGGCGCGAAAGCUAGGGUAGCAAACGGG